RNAcentral lists this ribosomal RNA (1600 nucleotides) under human metagenome. Its description in RNAcentral is "bacterial LSU rRNA". It matches the Rfam family "Bacterial large subunit ribosomal RNA", at positions 530 to 2088 of the family's 2925-position model. The record is from RNAcentral.
CAAGAAGAGUGAAAUAGUUCCUGAAACCAUGCGCCUACAAGCGGUCGGAGCUGCUCAUGCAGUGACGGCGUGCCUUUUGCAUAAUGAACCUACGAGUUACCUUCACCAGCAAGGUUAAGGGCCACAAGGCCCGCAGCCGCAGUGAAAGCGAGCCUGAACAGGGCGUUUGUCCCCUUAGGGACAAAGCGCACGCAAGUGCGUUUGAGUUGGUGGUGGUAGACGCGAAACCAAGUGAUCUACACAUGUCCAGGAUGAAGUCCCGGUAACACGGGAUGGAGGUCCGAACGGAUAAGCGUUGAAAAGCUUCCCGAUGAGGUGUGUGUAGGAGUGAAAGGCCAAUCAAACUUGGAGAUAGCUCGUACUCCCCGAAAGGCAUUUAGGUGCCGCGUGCAGUGUUCUCCCCAAGAGGUAGAGCGACCGAUAGGACGCGAGGGCUUCACCGCCUAUCAAGUCCUGACGAACUCCGAAUGCUCAGGGGACUGUAGCUGCGCAGUAAGGGGACGGGUGCUAAGGUCCGUUCCCGAGAGGAGAAGAAUCCAGACCGCCGUCUAAGGUCCCGGAGUUCUGCCUGAGUUAGUCUAACGAAGUCUGGUCCCCGCGACAGCCAGGAUGUUGGCUUGGAAGCAGCCAUUCAUUUAAAGAGUGCGUAACAGCUCACUGGUCGAGGGUCCGGGCGUGGAUAAUAAUCGGGUAUAAGGCAGACACCGAAGACGCGGGAUAGCAUUGAAAAAAGUAUCGGUAGGGGAGCAUUCCAUGCGCGUUGAAUGCGAUAAGACAAUUAUCGCUGGAGCCUAUGGAAAAGCAAAUGUAGGUAUAAGUAACGAUAAGGAGGGUAAGAUUCCCUCCCGCCGUAAGACUAAGGUUUCCCGGGCAAUGCCAAUCAUCCCGGGGUCAGUCGGGUCCUAAGGCUCAGCCGAACGGCGAGGCCGAUGGCAGAAAGGGUCAACAUUCCCUUACUGCCGCACGGAGCGACGCGGAGACGGAGGCGUGACACCACCGCGGAGAUACGGAAUUCUCCGUUGAAGAGCGUAGACGUUGAGGGCGGCAGGCAAAUCCACCGCCCGAGUCGAACCUCGAAAGUAUGCCUUUCCCUUCGGGGCGAGGCAAUAGCGUGGGUAAUCAUACUCCCGAGAAAAUCCGCUAAGCUCAAUCCGUGCGGCACCCGUACCGCAAACGGACACACGUAGUCGGGUAGAACAUACUGAGGCGUUGAGAGAUUCAUGGUUAAGGAACUAGGCAAACUGACCCCGUAACUUCGGGAUAAGGGGUCCUCAUAGCAAUAUGAGGCGCAGAGAAUAGGUCCAGGCAACUGUUUAACAAAAACACAGGGCUGUGCAAACUCGAAAGAUGACGUAUACAGCCUGACACCUGCCCGGUGCCGGAAGGUUAAGAGGAGAGCUCAGAGGCAACUCGAAGGUUUGAAUUGAAGCCCCGGUAAACGGCGGCCGUAACUAUAACGGUCCUAAGGUAGCGAAAUUCCUUGUCGGGUAAGUUCCGACCUGCACGAAUGGUGUAAUGAUCCGGACACUGUCUCAACCAUGAUUCCGGUGAAAUUGUAGUAUCGGUGAAGAUGCCGAUUACCCGCGAUGGGACGAAAAGA